This 75-nucleotide transfer RNA is filed under the name Paenibacillus polymyxa. RNAcentral describes it as "tRNA-Gly". It matches the Rfam family "tRNA". From Rfam's summary of the family: Transfer RNA (tRNA) molecules are approximately 80 nucleotides in length. The record is from RNAcentral. Lineage: Bacteria; Bacillati; Bacillota; Bacilli; Caryophanales; Paenibacillaceae.
GCGGACGUGGCUCAGCUCUAGAGCAUCGCCUUGCCAAGGCGAGGGUCGCGGGUUCGAUUCCCGUCGUCCGCUCCA